This 250-nucleotide ribosomal RNA is filed under the name uncultured bacterium. RNAcentral's name for it is "partial 16S ribosomal RNA". It matches the Rfam family "Bacterial small subunit ribosomal RNA", at positions 524 to 773 of the family's 1533-position model. The record is from RNAcentral.
UACGGAGGUUGCGAGCGUUGUUCGGAUUAACUGGGCGUAAAGGGGGCGCAGGCGGCCUGAUCUGUCUGGGGUGAAAGCCCGGGGCUCAACCUCGGAAUUGCCUUGGAUACUGUCAGGCUUGAGUGUGUGAGAGGAGAGUGGAAUUCCUGGUGUAGCGGUGAAAUGCGUAGAUAUCAGGAGGAACACCGGUGGCGAAAGCGGCUCUCUGGCACAUUACUGACGCUGAGGCCCGAAAGCGUGGGGAGCAAAC